AAUCACGUACGAAGCCUAAAGCACAACCUUGGGCCCUACUUAUGAAACACCAUUUAAAAAGCCUCUACAGAUUUCAGCUUAUCUUGAAUGUGUGAAGGUCCACCUUCUUGACAGAGUGAGCCACACUUCAGUCUGUGAAGAAGGGAAAAGAGGAUGUUCAAUAUAAAUCUGAACUGUGCAAUUCUCUCUCAAGGUACAUGUUGUAAAGAAGGGAGGGAAUUAAUUCUCCUGCUGCUUCUGCCACAAGUGGGAUUUAAGUGCCACAGCUUUAAAACCCACUGGCUGAUGCUUCAAGUAACUGUGACUGUCAUUUCCACCCUGCAUGUGGCCUCGAGACUUUCUGCUCAGUUU
Molecule: non-coding RNA, 351 nt
Organism: Cyanistes caeruleus (blue tit)
Lineage: Eukaryota; Metazoa; Chordata; Aves; Passeriformes; Paridae
Source: RefSeq, a predicted model, not a curated record